AUAUAUAUGUACAGUUUUACGUAUACGCAAUAUUAUUGUAUAUAUGUAUCGCAAUCGUCGCAAUCGUAUGUAAUAAUAACAAUUAUUACCGUCCGCCGUCGGUGUAUUGUUUUGAGUUAUUGCGCAAGCUACAUCGACAAUAUAUAUAUUAUGGUUAACAAAAGUCCGAUAAGAUAGAUUAUUUUCUCUCUAUAAUCCCAAUGAUAACUGCAGCAGUCAUCUGAAAAUGACUCACUGCAACGUCUCUCCUUUUAAUAUUUUUGGUUUCCUUUUAAUUCAUCUUUAUUCCAAUUGGAGUAAAUUUUAAAAAUUGUCAAUUAUGUUUCAAAAUUUUAGAGAUAUUUGUUAAAAGAUUAUCAAUUGUUAAUUGCAAAACCAUACAGAGAGGAGAGUAUUCAUUCAAAGACAGUUAAAAGAAAGAUAAUUCCGAAUUAAGAUAUAAAAUGCAUUUUGACUCCUAAAAGAGAGUUUUUUCUUUUGCCAAUAGAGAUCGAGUGAAUAUGCGAGAUAGAAAACUAGUACAUACAUUAUAACAAAUGAUAUGAUAUUAAGAUAUGGUUUGUCUCUUAUCAUUAAUUAACUAAUGACAAUUUCCGUCAUUAUUUAAUUGAUGAUUCCUAUUAUUUAAUUUAAUUAGUCGCUUGCUUAACGAUUGCUAAUGCAAUUAUUUUUCUCUGCUUAGGCUUACUAAUAGAUAACUCGAGAAAACGAAAUUCUACUAUACUUAUUGUCCACAUUACAUUUGUACGUUUUAGGCGAAUACUCCACAACCGAUUAGUCAUUAAUUCAUUAACUCUCUGCACUAGAAUGUUUUAUUUCAACAUGAAGUUAUAAAAUCUCAUUAAUUAUCUAAACAUUCAGUAAUAUGAGAAAUUAAAAUUUAUAUUGUCAUUGUUACAAGAAAUUUAACCGUGAAAUUAUAAUAAUGCUUGCUUUAUAAAUGAAUAUAAUGAUUGUUUAUUUAUUUAUUAGUUUAACAUGGAAAAUUAUUCAAAGUGCAAAGAGUUAAGAGUUUAAAAUAUCACUAGAAGAUAUCAGGCCAUUUGAGUAUUUUCGCAAAGGAGUGCGAACAGGAAGUUCCAUGGAAUAUUCAAAUUCGACCUAGUCCUGGCUUCUUUCAUUGAAAUAUAAUAGUUUACUUUUAUAUAUAUAUACACUAUAAGUGUAUAUAUUACAUAUAUAUAAUCUAUUUUUUCAUAAUAUACUUUGUCACAGGUCGACUUUGAUGCAUAACAGAGUUAAAAUCAAAAUAAUAAUUGACCUACGUGGAACUAAUCGUUAAUUGUUUAACCUACGUGGCCUGGAUGAUGAUUAUUUCUCCUCGCCCGACGAAACCAGUUUCAUCGGGUCAAAUUGCCUUUUCGUUAUCCAGGCAUCUUGAAAUGCACACCGCAUGCUGCGCAACGUUAAUGUUAUUGUCAAGCAUAAUUUAGUCCAAUUAUUUUAUUGUCAUUUUUAAUUUUAGUCUUUUUAUGCUAAAUUCAUUAUUGUCACGUCAUUAAUCCGUAUAAUCAACCGUGGAUUCCUGGAUCCUUAGAUCUUUGGGAGGAUCUCAUUUUCUCGAACAAUUAAUUUUAUAUACCUGUGAAUUUUUAGAUCUCUACAGAUCCUUGUUUGUUUUUAAAUACUUGAUGGAUACUUUUUUUAUUUGUGUUGUUCCUGAAUCUUUAAGUGCUUGAUAUCAUUAAAUCUUUAGAUCCAUCGAUUCUCAAAGUAUUUUCGAAUCUUCAAAUAUCCAUAGAUCUAAGGACCCAAAUACUUUGAUCCAAGACUAUCUACCUAGAAUAAUGUUUCGGGUACAGUCACCCAAGUCCACUGGACGGCUCCUACCGCUAAUCUUAAAUCUGAUGUUAUUCGCAAUCGCUAAAGAGUAAAUGUUUCAUUGUUAACUUGUAUAACAGGUAAUUUUUCGCACGGAAAGAUCACCUAUCGUUUCCGUCCACACGAUGCGCGAUUGUGUCGUUUGCUCGAAAACGUAUAUAUAGAUUGUUGUUUAAUAUUCUUCAUUAUCUGCGAAGUUUCGAAAGCUAUUUCGCAUUGUUAUAAUGUCACUUAAAUUCGAACAAAAUUGUAAACGGUUACAUCUUUCAGACGGAAAUACAUUCAAGAAUGUUCUCAAAGAAAUUUCCACUUACAUCAAUGUUAUCGGAUAUUUAGAUUCCAGAAAAAGCUUAUCCUUUACAGAUUUAUUACAGAUUUAAUAACAGAUUUUAAAAUACUAUGAAAGGAAAGUUGAAUUUGACAUCUAAUAAGUGUUAAAUUUAACAUCUAAGAACUUUUGAUUGAAAAAAAUAUUUUUUCUACUCGAAUAUAUCUCCGUCUUUAUAUUAUGAAGAAACAAUUCCUACCGCCGAAGCUUUUCUGUUAAUUGACACAAUAGACAAGAUCCUACCACGCGGAUGCGCUGACUACAAUUCGACCAGGUUCACCAAAAAUGGAUUGCAGCCACUUUUGCUCAAGCAGCAAGCAGUCGAAGAUGGUCGUCACAGAAUAAAGUAAAGCGUUUCUCGAAGCGAGAUCAUCCACGGAAACGCGCGUCGCGAUCAAAGAUCGAUCCUAGGUAAGAUCCUCAUCCUCAUCGUCGCUACCCGGACCGCCCGUAGGACAGCAUAGUCCUUCCGAACCGUCACUCCUGAUGCAAAACAGCAGCGUCUCGGCUGCCGUUACUUCGUGCGGGACAAUUCCAUGAAAUUCUUUUAGAUCCGCUGCAGGAAACCAGGCCUUUUCGUUGUCAUCGAUGAUGAGGAUUCCAUAAUAUCUGGAAAAAAAUAAUCAAGGAUUUGUCAGAUGCGCAUAAAACAAGAUACAUGAUUUUUCAUAACUAAUUUCAUAAUUGAGAUCAAUGCCAACCUGCAUAUAGCGACUGCGGGUAUCCACAAGACGGAGGUGAGAAUAAGAAUGGCGAUGAGAACUAGAGCCCAGACAGGCCACUCAUGUCUCUCUGUGACGCCUUUACUCGACACCCAGGCCGGAUAGCCGCUUCCUUCAAAAAAUAUCUCGACGAAGGACGCGAUCAGGAUGCUCAGCAUCGCCAGUGGACUGAGAUACUUCCAACAUAUCAACCAAUAGAGACCCGGCCGAUUGCCGGUCAUCAGUUCGAUAUCGUCGGCAAAUCUGAAAUUAUCGCAACGCACAUCGCAAUACAUACAUCUCUAAUCUGAAAUCUUGAAGGCUCAAGAAUGUUUCUACACUUACCUCUUCAAACCGUAGACAUACGACACUCCUAUACAUUCGAAGAAAGCAAUUAUAAGCAACGGAAAGUUUCCGCUAAAGCUGUCGAACAGCACGAAGACAUAACUACCAGCUCCAUGAGCGAAGGCCAUCGAGAUCGUGCAGCACACCAAACAAAUUGCACCUGCGUACGAAAUCGAGUUUAUUCUUAUCCGUAACUUAUUUUUUCAAAUUAGAAUUUCUUCUUAUUUAUCGCUGAAAUUCAAAUUACCUGUCAGAAUUUCUUUUCUUAAAUUUGGGAAGAGCUUCAUAUCAACGAUACUGGUGACGACACCCUCCAGAGUACCAAAUUGAGAAUCGAUUCCUAGUGUGAACAACAUCAAGAAGAAUAAUACUGACCAGAAUUGAGCGCCGGGAAACUGAUUGAUCGCUUCGGUGAAAAUGAUGAAAGCCAAACCUGUGCCUGCUGCCGACUAUCGCACUCGGGUAGUUCUGGCAUUAUCAAGUUGCCCAGUGAUCCGUUGCCGUUCGUGAUGUUCAACAGGGUGCCGCUGAUCGGAAUAUCCUCGGAUUAAAAAAGAAAAUAUUGGAGGAAAAGUUUGCCUAUAAUAGUACCUAUAAUCGAAAAGACGACGAUUCCCGCGAACAUAGAAGUGAAGCAAUUCGUCAAACUAACCAUGAUUGCAUCGCGAUAACAAUUAUUGUUCACCGGAUUGUACGAAGAAAACGCUAUAAGACCACCGAAAGCUAGACCUAAGGAGAAGAAGAUUUGGGUUCCAGCUUCUAACCAGACUACCGGGUCGGUCAACGUGUACCACUGGAAUAGAGAAAUAAAUUGACUGUUAUAUAAAAUAAGUGCGAUUGAAGAUUGUAUGCAAUGUACCUUUGGCGUGAAGAGAUGCCGCAGACCGUCCGACAUACCCGUCAGUGUUACGCCCCGGAAGAAGAAAAUGAUUAGAACGAUGUACGGAAACGUAGCAGUUACGUACACAACCUGAGAGAGGCAGAAUAAUUAAUUUGACGAAGAGGAUGUAUGUGAAAUUAAUAUGAUGACAUUUAAAUACCUUGCCCGAGGAUGCGAUACCCUUAAUCAUACACAUGUAGACGAGGAUCCAGGCAAUGACAAGCGCCAAAGCGAUUUUCCAAUUGAACACUUCCGGCGUAUUGAUAUCCUUGGAUAUCAUCAGGGUGGUUCGAUACCAGAAAUACUGCGUCGGGCUGCUCGCCUAUUGAUCAAUUCUCCAUUUACGAUGGCAAACUUAAUGCGCGAACAAUAAGAUAAUUUAUAUUGCAUCAUUCCAUAAAUUUUAACGUUACCAAACACUCGGGUUCAGAUGAAUGCGAUGAAAUAAAACGUCAAUUAUAGACUUUCUUACCUGAACGAAGUAGAAGAGGCACCAGGCGAUAAUGGUGUUGUAGUAAAGGGCCACGUUAAAGGAGACUACGGCGCUACUGAUUCCAAUACCGCCCAUAUACGGGGAUACCUUUUCGAAACAUUCGAUAGAAAAUUUCAUCAUCAAAAUUUCGACUUUUGGUAUGAUUGAUAAAAUAUAGGAAUACCCUCAAUGGCCAGCAUCACGAAAUAAGGAAUUAGAAAAGCACCUGGUGGACAUUAGAAAGCAUGCUUACAAUUGCACUAGAGAGCAUCUAAAUAAACUUAAGAAGUUUCAACGUACCUCCGCCGUUCUUCUGGGCCAGAUAAGGAAACCGCCAUACGUUUCCAAGGCCCACUGCAUAUCCUACGGUCGCCAGGAGAAAUAUGCACGGGUUCUCGCUGGGGGAUACGGAUGCGAAUCUCAUGAAAUUUUAUACGCGAUCGUGCGAGAGAGAAGAUUCAUUUUUUUAAUUAAAAUAAAUACAUAGAGCUUCGAUGGAUAUGAAAAAAGCUGUCCGUUUUAAUCGAACGAAUAUAUAUGUACGCCCUAGCGCGUACGAGAGUAUUUCACUUCAUUGUACGGAAUUUGCGAUUGACACAGAAAGCCCGGAUUCCUUGAUUUAAGUGCGACAGCUCUAGAAAGUGUCCGUCGACGAAGGGGAGAGAUGCCCGAAAAGAUGCGGUCGUUCAUCGCGCUUCAGCCGCGAACAGAAACCGAUGUAGCGAAAUCCUUACCGACCUGCCGGGACCAAAGGAGGAAACGCGCGAGGACCUUGUCCGCGGUCGAAGAGCGGUUCGCCACUGGUGACACCCCAGUGUUAGGUGCUGGUGAUAGUAACUUUUGAAAUCACGGUAUUUCAAGAGAAUCAAUAGCUGGCGCCGGCGCCCCAAACUCCUCUCUUUCGGCAACUCGAUUCUCUUGCGAAAUCACGUGCGAGUCCUUUGCUUUUCGAAAGAAAAAAGAAAACGAACGGUAGAUUAUGAUUUAACGUUAUCUUGGAAUUUAAAGGAUUUUAUCAAAAAACUUUGUAAAAUAUAUAAAAAAAAUUAUACUGUUACAUAGAGAUGCAAUAAAUUGCAACGAAAAGAGAAUGUUUUAGGAUAAUAAUGUAUUGAUAAUUGUGUGUGUGAUUUUAAUUUAAGAAAAAUUAAAAUAUUCAGUAAUAUAAAUUUUCAUUAUCUUCUAUAUAUGGAAUAAUUAAUGGGCUUGUUUUUUGUAAAAAAAUAUUUAUUAUAAAAAUAAUCCUAUACAAAGUAUGUAUCAUAAACACCAUAAGAAUGUAAAAUAUUCUUCUUUAACUUUUUAUGCUUCUCUACAGUUUUAUUCAUAUAUUUUUGUUUUCUUAACGAAGAGUCUCCUUAGCUAGGAAUUUCGUAAAAGCGAGUAUCUCUGAAACAUAUACAAUCUUUAUUAAGACUUUCUGCAUGUUAUAUUUAAAUAAUUGGAAUGGAAUGUUUAAGCAAAAAACGGAAUUAUACUAACGAUCGAAUAAACUAAUAUAUUCUACUCA
Non-coding RNA from Nylanderia fulva, 6057 nucleotides. Lineage: Eukaryota; Metazoa; Arthropoda; Insecta; Hymenoptera; Formicidae. The record is from RefSeq and is a predicted model, not a curated record.